UACGAAGGGGGCUAGCGUUGUUCGGAUUUACUGGGCGUAAAGCGCACGUAGGCGGAUCGUUAAGUCGGGGGUGAAAUCCUGGAGCUCAACUCCAGAACUGCCUUCGAUACUGGCGAUCUUGAGUCCGGAAGAGGUGAGUGGAACUCCUAGUGUAGAGGUGGAAUUCGUAGAUAUUAGGAAGAACACCAGUGGCGAAAGCACUCUGCUGGGCCGACACUGACACUGAGAGACGAAAGCUAGGGGAGCGAAUGGG
RNAcentral lists this ribosomal RNA (253 nucleotides) under uncultured bacterium. RNAcentral's name for it is "partial 16S ribosomal RNA". It matches the Rfam family "Bacterial small subunit ribosomal RNA", at positions 524 to 776 of the family's 1533-position model. The record is from RNAcentral.